UACGUAGGGUGCAAGCGUUGUCCGGAAUUAUUGGGCGUAAAGAGCUCGUAGGCGGUCUGUCACGUCGGGCGUGAAAAUCCAGGGCUUAACCCUGGACCUGCGUUCGAUACGGGCAGACUAGAGUUCGGUAGGGGAGACUGGAAUUCCUGGUGUAGCGGUGAAAUGCGCAGAUAUCAGGAGGAACACCGGUGGCGAAGGCGGCUACCUGGACCGGUUCUGACGCUGAUGCGCGAAAGCGUGGGUAGCAAACAGG
RNAcentral lists this ribosomal RNA (253 nucleotides) under uncultured bacterium. RNAcentral's name for it is "partial 16S ribosomal RNA". It matches the Rfam family "Bacterial small subunit ribosomal RNA", at positions 524 to 776 of the family's 1533-position model. The record is from RNAcentral.